GACGAACGCUGGCGGCGUGCUUAACACAUGCAAGUCGAACGGAAAGGCCUUUUCGGAGGUACUCGAGUGGCGAACGGGUGAGUAACACGUGGGUGAUCUGCCCUGCACUCUGGGAUAAGCCUGGGAAACUGGGUCUAAUACCGGAUAGGACCGCACUUUAGUGUGUGUGGUGGAAAGUUUUUUCGGUGUAGGAUGAGCCCGCGGCCUAUCAGCUUGUUGGUGGGGUAAUGGCCUACCAAGGCGGCGACGGGUAGCCGGACUGAGAGGUUGGUCGGCCACAUUGGGACUGAGAUACGGCCCAGACUCCUACGGGGGGCAGCAGUGGGGAAUAUUGCACAAUGGGCGCAAGCCUGAUGCAGCGACGCCGCGGGGGGGAGGACGGCCUUAGGGUUGUAAACGCCUUUCGCCAGGGACGAAGCGUUUUGUGACGGUACCUGGAGAAGAAGCACCGGCUAACUACGUG
Molecule: ribosomal RNA, 463 nt
Filed under: uncultured bacterium
Lineage: Bacteria
Description: partial 16S ribosomal RNA
Rfam family: Bacterial small subunit ribosomal RNA
Source: RNAcentral